GACGAACGCUGGCGGCGUGCCUAAUACAUGCAAGUAGAACGCUGAAGGAGGAGCUUGCUUCUCUGGAUGAGUUGCGAACGGGUGAGUAACGCGUAGGUAACCUGCCUGGUAGCGGGGGAUAACUAUUGGAAACGAUAGCUAAUACCGCAUAAGAGUAGAUGUUGCAUGACAUUUGCUUAAAAGGUGCAAUUGCAUCACUACCAGAUGGACCUGCGUUGUAUUAGCUAGUUGGUGGGGUAACGGCUCACCAAGGCGACGAUACAUAGCCGACCUGAGAGGGGGAUCGGCCACACUGGGACUGAGACACGGCCCAGACUCCUACGGGAGGCAGCAGUAGGGAAUCUUCGGCAAUGGACGCAAGUCUGACCGAGCAACGCCGCGUGAGUGAAGAAGGUUUUCGGAUCGUAAAGCUCUGUUGUAAGAGAAGAACGAGUGUGAGAGUGGAAAGUUCACACUGUGACGGUAUCUUACCAGAAAGGGACGGCUAACUACGUG
RNAcentral lists this ribosomal RNA (495 nucleotides) under uncultured bacterium. RNAcentral's name for it is "partial 16S ribosomal RNA". It matches the Rfam family "Bacterial small subunit ribosomal RNA", at positions 28 to 507 of the family's 1533-position model. The record is from RNAcentral.